UCAAAUGAAUUGACGGGGCCGCACAAGCGGUGGAGCAUGUGGUUAAUUCGAAGCAACGCGAAGAACCUUACCAGGUCUUGACAUCCCCUGACAACCCAAGAGAUUUGGGCGUUCCCCCUUCGGGGGGGACAGGGUGACAGGUGGUGCAUGGUUGUCGUCAGCUCGUGUCGUGAGAUGUUGGGUUAAGUCCCGCAACGAGCGCAACCCUCGCCUCUAGUUGCCAGCAUUCGGUUGGGCACUCUAGAGGGACUGCCGGCGACAAGUCGGAGGAAGGUGGGGAUGACGUCAAAUCAUCAUGCCCCUUAUGACCUGGGCUACACACGUGCUACAAUGGGCGGUACAAAGGGCUGCGAACCCGCGAGGGGGGCGGAUCCCGAAAGCCGGUCGUAGUUCGGAUCGGGGUCUGGAACCCGACCCCGUGAAGCCGGAUUCGCUAGUAAUCGCGCAUCAGCCAUGGCGCGGUGAAUACGUUCCCGGGCCUU
RNAcentral lists this ribosomal RNA (482 nucleotides) under uncultured Geobacillus sp. RNAcentral describes it as "bacterial SSU rRNA". It matches the Rfam family "Bacterial small subunit ribosomal RNA", at positions 901 to 1382 of the family's 1533-position model. The record is from RNAcentral. Lineage: Bacteria; Bacillati; Bacillota; Bacilli; Caryophanales; Anoxybacillaceae.